UUUCGUAGGUGAACCUGCGAAAGGAUCAUUAUCGGCAAA
Molecule: ribosomal RNA, 39 nt
Filed under: Caulerpa taxifolia
Lineage: Eukaryota; Viridiplantae; Chlorophyta; Ulvophyceae; Bryopsidales; Caulerpaceae
Description: partial 18S ribosomal RNA
Source: RNAcentral